RNAcentral lists this ribosomal RNA (253 nucleotides) under uncultured bacterium. RNAcentral describes it as "partial 16S ribosomal RNA". It matches the Rfam family "Bacterial small subunit ribosomal RNA", at positions 524 to 776 of the family's 1533-position model. The record is from RNAcentral.
CACGUAAGGGGCGAGCGUUGUUCGGAAUUAUUGGGCGUAAAGGGCGUGCAGGCGGUUUUGCAAGUCUGAUGUGAAAACUCUGGGCUUAACUCAGAAUCCGCGUUGGAAACUGCAAGACUAGAAUCUUGGAGGGGGAGUUGGAAUUCCUAGUGUAGGGGUGAAAUCUGUUGAUAUUAGGAAGAACACCGGUGGCGAAGGCGAACUCCUGGCCGAAGAUUGACGCUGAGGCGCGAAAGCGUAGGUAGCAAACAGG